Molecule: ribosomal RNA, 511 nt
Filed under: Fusarium sp. ZL-2014
Lineage: Eukaryota; Fungi; Ascomycota; Sordariomycetes; Hypocreales; Nectriaceae
Description: eukaryotic LSU rRNA
Rfam family: 5.8S ribosomal RNA (bases 160-313)
Source: RNAcentral
AGGGAUCAUUACCGAGUUUACAACUCCCAAACCCCUGUGAACAUACCAAUUGUUGCCUCGGCGGAUCAGCCCGCUCCCGGUAAAACGGGACGGCCCGCCAGAGGACCCCUAAACUCUGUUUCUAUAUGUAACUUCUGAGUAAAACCAUAAAUAAAUCAAAACUUUCAACAACGGAUCUCUUGGUUCUGGCAUCGAUGAAGAACGCAGCAAAAUGCGAUAAGUAAUGUGAAUUGCAGAAUUCAGUGAAUCAUCGAAUCUUUGAACGCACAUUGCGCCCGCCAGUAUUCUGGCGGGCAUGCCUGUUCGAGCGUCAUUUCAACCCUCAAGCCCAGCUUGGUGUUGGGACUCGCGAGUUAAACCGCGUUCCCCAAAUUGAUUGGCGGUCACGUCGAGCUUCCAUAGCGUAGUAGUAAAACCCUCGUUACUGGUAAUCGUCGCGGCCACGCCGUUAAACCCCAACUUCUGAAUGUUGACCUCGGAUCAGGUAGGAAUACCCGCUGAACUUAAGCAU